GGGGGUAUAGCUCAGUUGGUAGAGCAGUUGACUCUUAAUCAAUUGGUCCAAGGUUCGAGUCCUUGUGCCCCCACCA
RNAcentral lists this transfer RNA (76 nucleotides) under Thauera butanivorans. RNAcentral describes it as "tRNA-Lys". It matches the Rfam family "tRNA". Rfam says of the family: Transfer RNA (tRNA) molecules are approximately 80 nucleotides in length. Their secondary structure includes four short double-helical elements and three loops (D, anti-codon, and T loops). RNAcentral also lists the same sequence under 4 other names. The record is from RNAcentral. Lineage: Bacteria; Pseudomonadati; Pseudomonadota; Betaproteobacteria; Rhodocyclales; Zoogloeaceae.